UUUUAAAAUUUGUGAACAGUCACAUUUUAAGGGUCCGAUCUGUGUUCUUCUGUCACGAAUCUCGGCGCCGCGUUGAGUCUUUUUCCCCCUCAUUUAGGCUGGUUUGGCCUUAGUCAACAUACCUUUUCAGGAUUAUUUAUUUUUGGAAUUUCAUUUCCCCGUAGUCUCCCAGUCUGUCUGCACUGCCUCGGGAGAGAAAGGGAGCAAACAGAGGCGCCAUGGCGGAGAGGUCGGCGGCGACCCCGCAGCCGGUGCGACCGGCAGAGGAAGGGAGUGCUGCUGCGCAGGCCGGCGCCACUUCCUUGGAAGAUGGAGGUGUCUCCGCAGCCUUCUCCGGCAACGUCGGGUUGCGCUGUGGAUCGGGAGUUUGUUCGAUCUGCGGCGGCGAGGACAGCGAUUCGCGAUAGUCGAAGUCAUGACCGCCGCUUUUGAGACGGUAGUUUCGAUGUGCGGAGCCGAUGCCACCAGCCGCUUCACUGUCAUGGCAAACCUGCAGAGUGCAGUGUUGAAGACGAAGGUUGUUGAGCACUGAGCAGGAGUCCGAGCUCGCCGAUGUUGGAUUAUGGUUCAUACUAGUUUAAUUUCAUCUGUGUUUGAGUUCUCUGUUGCUGAGCUCCAUCUAUAGUUUAGGUUUCAGGUUUGUUGUAUAAGAUUGUUUAAUUUAUAUUAGGACUUAGUUUAUUUUGAGGGUAUAUUAGUCUUACUUUUCUUGAGCAGAUUUCUCAUGUUUUCAUGGUGUGCUCACGCCUUGAAUACAUUAGGUUUUAGUUCUGUGGUUUCAGCAUGAUUUUUUUCAUGAUGUAUGAUUCUAUUACUUACUUUUUUUAGAGGUAUUCUGUUACUUACUUGA
Lolium perenne is the source of this 850-nucleotide long non-coding RNA. RefSeq lists it as uncharacterized. The record is from RefSeq and is a predicted model, not a curated record. Lineage: Eukaryota; Viridiplantae; Streptophyta; Magnoliopsida; Poales; Poaceae.